This 899-nucleotide ribosomal RNA is filed under the name marine metagenome. Its description in RNAcentral is "bacterial SSU rRNA". It matches the Rfam family "Bacterial small subunit ribosomal RNA", at positions 301 to 1218 of the family's 1533-position model. The record is from RNAcentral.
UGAUCAGCCACAUUGGGACUGAGACACGGCCCAAACUCCUACGGGAGGCAGCAGUAGGGAAUAUUGCACAAUGGAGGAAACUCUGAUGCAGCGAUGCCGCGUGAGUGAAGAAGGCCCUUGGGUUGUAAAGCUCUUUCGUCGGGGAAGAAAAUGACUGUACCCGAAUAAGAAGGUCCGGCUAACUUCGUGCCAGCAGCCGCGGUAAUACGAAGGGACCUAGCGUAGUUCGGAAUUACUGGGCUUAAAGAGUUCGUAGGUGGUUAAAAAAGUUGGUUGUGAAAUCCCGGGGCUUAACUCCGGAACUGCAAUCAAAACUUUUUAGCUAGAGUAUGAUAGAGGAAAGCAGAAUUUCUAGUGUAGAGGUGAAAUUCGUAGAUAUUAGAAAGAAUACCAAUUGCGAAGGCAGCUUUCUGGAUCAUUACUGACACUGAGGAACGAAAGCAUGGGUAGCGAAGAGGAUUAGAUACCCUCGUAGUCCAUGCCGUAAACGAUGUGUGUUAGACGUUGGAAAUUUAUUUUUAGUGUCGCAGCGAAAGCAAUAAACACACCGCCUGGGGAGUACGACCGCAAGGUUAAAACUCAAAUGAAUUGACGGGGACCCGCACAAGUAGUGGAGCAUGUGGUUUAAUUCGAAGAUACGCGCAGAACCUUACCAACACUUGACAUGUUCGUCGCGACUCUAAGAGAUUAGAGUUUUCGGUUCGGCCGGACGAAACACAGGUGCUGCAUGGCUGUCGUCAGCUCGUGUCGUGAGAUGUUGGGUUAAGUCCCGCAACGAGCGCAACCCUCACUUUUAGUUGCCAUCAUUUAGUUGGGCACUCUGAAAGAACUGCCAGUGAUAAGCUGGAGGAAGGUGGGGAUGACGUCAAGUCCUCAUGGCCCUUACGUGUUGGGCUACA